Molecule: ribosomal RNA, 117 nt
Filed under: Ruminococcus sp.
Lineage: Bacteria; Bacillati; Bacillota; Clostridia; Eubacteriales; Oscillospiraceae
Source: RNAcentral
ACCGGUGUUUAUGGCAGAGAGGCCCCACCCGUUCCCAUCCCGAACACGGAAGUUAAGCUCUUUUGCGCCUACGAUACUUGGACGGCAACGUCCCGGGAAAAUUGGUCAAUGCCGGUA